RNAcentral lists this ribosomal RNA (301 nucleotides) under uncultured bacterium. RNAcentral describes it as "partial 16S ribosomal RNA". It matches the Rfam family "Bacterial small subunit ribosomal RNA", at positions 509 to 807 of the family's 1533-position model. The record is from RNAcentral.
CAGUCGCCGCGGGAAUACAGAGGGUGCGAGCGUUAAUCGGAUUUACUGGGCGUAAAGCGUGCGUAGGCGGCUUCUUAAGUCGGAUGUGAAAUCCCUGAGCUUAACUUAGGAAUUGCAUUCGAUACUGGGAAGCUAGAGUAUGGGAGAGGAUGGUAGAAUUCCAGGUGUAGCGGUGAAAUGCGUAGAGAUCUGGAGGAAUACCGAUGGCGAAGGCAGCCAUCUGGCCUAAUACUGACGCUGAGGUACGAAAGCAUGGGGAGCUAACAGGAUUAGAUACCCCCGUAGUCCCUGUCUCUUAUAC